Molecule: unclassified non-coding RNA, 488 nt
Filed under: Bombus terrestris (buff-tailed bumblebee)
Lineage: Eukaryota; Metazoa; Arthropoda; Insecta; Hymenoptera; Apidae
Description: misc RNA ENSBTSG00005033888.1
Source: RNAcentral
CUUAUUUUAUUCUAUUCGCUCGUGCACGAACAAGAAUGAAAGUGAAUACAGGAAAUCGCGUGGUCGUCAUCCCCAUCACAGGGGGAAGGCCCUUUCCCUUGACGCACCGAUAAGCUCGACGAUUGAGCAGCAUGUAACAUGAUCCAGUGUCAGAUAACGCUGAGACAAUGUAUACAGAGCUUGGAUCACCGCAUCAUAAAAUACUUGCAAUUGUUGCAGAUUUCCUGGAUGUGACUUAUUCGGUUAACAGAAAGCUAGAAAAAUGCGGUCACUGGCAUAGUUUUCGUCGCUUGAAAAUCAUUUGAGAUCAGCAGUGAUGUAGUACAGUUUCCCUUUGACGCAUGCUGAAACUGGAUGGCCGAAUAAUAUGAUCUGAUCCAGAUUCGAAUAUCGAUGAGAUAAUGAAGCAAUACCAAUGUAAUAGUGAAAUUUGUUUAUACUUUACUCUUUUAAAAUUAAACUUUCGCUAAUGUACUUGUGAAACUGUG